Molecule: long non-coding RNA, 253 nt
Filed under: Lathyrus oleraceus (garden pea)
Lineage: Eukaryota; Viridiplantae; Streptophyta; Magnoliopsida; Fabales; Fabaceae
Description: Pisum sativum (pea) long non-coding RNA (PSAT_LNC023108)
Source: RNAcentral
UUUUUUUUUUUUUUAAUGCCCCAGUUGGCUGUUCUGCUGAUUCUCGAGAUGCAGCUGAGUGAUCUUCUUUUCUUGCUCAAGAAGUCGGGAAAUCUCGUCAGGAAUCCCUUCAAGCAUCAUCUUCUUCCGCUUCGAAUACAGGGAAUUCAAAAUUGGGAGAUGACGUCCGAUCAUUAUGUUCAAUGGGUUUGAGAAUCAACCUGCAUAAUGAUUUUGAGUAUAAAAAGCACUUUGAAAAUCAAACAAGGCAAUC